This 2664-nucleotide long non-coding RNA is filed under the name Capsella grandiflora. RNAcentral's name for it is "long non-coding RNA (CGRA_LNC000040)". The record is from RNAcentral. Lineage: Eukaryota; Viridiplantae; Streptophyta; Magnoliopsida; Brassicales; Brassicaceae.
ACUAGAUGAUGACCCGCACGUACGUGCGGGUGUAUUUUCAAAACAUAGUCUGUUGGUUUAGUUUUCUUAAAUAAUGUAAUAUGAUUUGGCUUUUGAUAAGUUAUUUUUAUUUAAUUAAGUUGAAGGAAUAUUGACUGCAUUUUGUAACUGGAUUAGUAGAAUAUAAAAUGAAAAAGAUGGAAAACUAAAGUUUAUAAUGAGAAAGUCUUGAAGAUGGUAUUAAAAAUAAUGUAAACGAAGUCAUACUUGCAGAAAAAUAAAAAGAAAAAAUGCAGAACUAUAAUUUAAAGGUUCUUGAACACUUCUUUGAAGAUCACAUAAGUUUCUUCUUUGGUUUGCCAUCUUUAUCAACGAUGAGGACUUUCAGUCCCUUUUUAGAAGUAACUCUUCAAAGAGCAACGUAGAGCUGUCCAUGUGAAAAACAUGGUUUAAGGAGGUAAAGACCAACAUUACUCAAAGACUGUCCUUGACAUUUAUUAAUUGUCAUGGCGAACGCAACAGCUAACAGCAAGAAAAUAUAUAUAAGAGAUUCGGAUGGGAUAUUAGUAUUCCAUUUAAUUUUUGUUAGAAUAAUUAAUUGUUACAAAUUAGCGGACAUUAAACGAAUUUUCUUUAGAUUUUGAAAAUUUAUAGAUUAUCUUUUCAAAAAUACCAAAAUUAAACUUCUUGAAAGUUUUGUCUCCAAGUAAAACUUUACCGUCCCAAUAAUAAUCCUUACCCAAGUUAGUGUGAGAUCGAGAACUGAAUUUAAUUCAAUUUUUUUGUUAAUAUUCCCUUGCCCAUAAUGUUUCCAUAAUCCCUAUUAUAUUGAGAGAAAAUCAAAUUGUACAUGCGGGAUUAUUUUGAAAAGUUUUGAAUUUAUUAUGUAGAUGUUAUUUUGGUAAAAACAAAAUUUUGGUUGGACAAACUGAAAGUUGUCGUUAUUUAUUGGUAUUUAUUCAUGAAACUUAUCUUUAUGGAUUAUCACAGUCAAUGCAGUUAUGGUUUUCAAAUCUAGUUAAUAUUUUGUUUCCAAAAACAAUUAUUCGUUUAAAAAAAAGAAAGAAUAUUUCUGUGAAUUUUUUUUCUUUCAUUUUGAUAUAUUUGUAUUAAAAAAUUUGUGAUAUUAACAUAAUGAUUCAUAUUGAAUCAUAUUCAUGGUACCGUUAUGAAAUCACAUUAUAUGAUUCCCAAAGAUUUAUAUUAUUUGAACUUAUAAUUAUCUUUCCAAAAUUAUAUUGGAGAUUAUUUGUUCGUAUCAGUUUGAAUACACAAUUAUAACCAAUCCUCUCACAUAUGUUUUAUUUUGUUUGAUUACUGCAGUUUAAAUAGAACACAAAGUAAAUGAAUUUAAACAAAAACUUGAAUUAACAAUUUGUAAACGAUUAUAUACAAUAUAUCAAUAAACAUCUUGAUUUUUUUAUACCACAUAUAUGUGUUAUACACAUAUAUUACCUAUGCUAUAUGUGUGGUGUGUGGAUGAAUUCAUAAAUAUACUAUAAAAUUUAAACACAAUCAAUUAGUGAAAAUUGAUUAGAAUCAAUAACUUGAGAAUAUUCUUCAUGACAACACUCCUUCAUGUUCAACCUUACAUGUUUUCUCUGUUCUUUUACAGCCUGCAAACAUAUAUAUAUAUAUAUAUAUACAUAUAAAUAUUAAAAUCAUGUGUGACAAAAAAAAAAAAAAUCGUCUAUAUAUUGGUACCUACACGUAUCUAUAUUUGUACCUUCAUGUAUCUUAUCUAUAAUAAUAUAUAUAAAUGAACAUAUCAAUAUAAAAUACUGACUCGAUACAAACUAAUGAUAGUCUUAGAUAUAAUUUCUUAAAGGUAAACAAAACAUUUAAUUGUUGAAUGGUUAGUAUUUCGUCAACAAUGAUGUAAAUGGGAACCCUUUAUAUCAGAAGGAAAAUAUUAGAAUACUAAAAACAGAAUCAUAAAAAAAAAAACUUAUAAGAGUAGUGUAAAAUCGAAGAAAAACGUCUCAUAUAUUUUCUUGAGUUAAGCAUGAAUUUCUUAACCCUGUAAAAUUACAAUUAAACAUAGAUUAGUUUCAUAUUUAAGAAAGAGUUUACAAAUAGAAAAGAAGUAUGAAUACUAACUAUAUCAUCCGAUAAAAUAACCUUCAAUAAAUCCCCACUGGUUUGGAAAAGCUUCAAAUCACCAAGGUUAGUUGAUUCGGAUCUGCCAUCGUUGACAUCAAUUUUAGUAUACAAAAUUAGAGAUUUCAAGUAGGAUAGGGUAUAAUGCUAUAUGUCUAACGAUAAUUAUAUUUAUAGGGGAUGUCAGCGGUUCCAUCAAAUAGGAUAAAUGCAUUUGAUACCAUAUAUUUUCAUAUAAAAGAAACUUAACAAAAUUAUGAUUUAGUUGAUUAGUUUAGAUUUUUUUUGCGUAGUAGGUAGUCGUAUUUUUGUUUUUUUGGUCAAGUUUAGGAAUUUUUGAUUUUGUAAUAGUAUUGAGAAGUUAUUAAGAGCUAUAUUUUAGGAAUGAGUAAGUAAUAUUGAGAAGUUAUAUGUAUUCCUACAAUUAUGGGUUAUAACUAAAUUGUAGGAAAUUAUCUCUAUAUUUUUUUUUUUACCAAACUAUCUCUAUAUUUGUUUUGUGUUAUAACUAAAUUUAGACACCUUUUUAAUUGUAUAUACUAUGUUCAUCUUAUACAAAAUGCUUCCCUUUUAAUAGUAUAGAUU